UACGUAGGGGGCGAGCGUUGUCCGAAGUUACUGGGCGUAAAGCGCGCGUAGGCGGUUUCUUAAGUCUGGGGUGAAAGGUUCAACGCUCAACGUGAACAGUGCCUUGGAUACUGGGAGACUUGAGUUAGGGAGAGGGCAGUAGAAUUCCUGGUGUAGCGGUGAAAUGCGUAGAUAUCAGGAGGAAUACCAAUGGCGAAGGCAGCUGCCUGGCCUAUAACUGACGCUGAGGUGCGAAAGCGUGGGGAGCAAACGGG
RNAcentral lists this ribosomal RNA (254 nucleotides) under uncultured bacterium. RNAcentral's name for it is "partial 16S ribosomal RNA". It matches the Rfam family "Bacterial small subunit ribosomal RNA", at positions 524 to 776 of the family's 1533-position model. The record is from RNAcentral.